CUGGUGCCAGCAGCCGCGUAAUUCCAACUCCAAUAGCGUAUAUUAAAGUUGUUGCAGUUAAAAGCUCGUAGUUGAAUUUCGGGGUCAGUAGAUUGGUCAUGCCUCCGGUAUGUACUGGUCUUACUGGCUCCUCCUUCCUGAUGAACCGUAAUGCCAUUAAUUUGGUGUUGCGGGGAGACUGGACUGUUACUUUGAAAAAAUUAGAGUGUUUAAAGCAGGCUAACGCUUGAAUACAUUAGCAUGGAAUAAUGAAAUAGGACGUUCGAUCCUAUUUUAGUUGGUUUCUAGGGAUUGACGUAAUGAUUAAUAGGGAUAUUGGGGGGCAUUAGUAUUCAAUUGUCAGAGGUGAAAUUCUUGGAUUUAUUGAAGACUAACUACUGCGAAAGCAUUUGCCAAGGAUGUUUUCAUUAAUCAAGAACGAAAGUUAGGGGGAUCGAAGACGAUCAGAUACCGUCGUAGUCUUAACCAUAAACUAUGCCGAUUAGGGAUCGGAUGAUGUUAAUUUUUUAAUGACUCAUUCGGCGCCUUACG
This 531-nucleotide ribosomal RNA is filed under the name uncultured Glomus. RNAcentral describes it as "SSU rRNA". It matches the Rfam family "Eukaryotic small subunit ribosomal RNA", at positions 561 to 1092 of the family's 1831-position model. The record is from RNAcentral. Lineage: Eukaryota; Fungi; Glomeromycota; Glomeromycetes; Glomerales; Glomeraceae.